GACGAAGGAUGCAAGCGUUAUCCGGAUUCAUUGGGUUUAAAGGGAGCGUAGGCGGCCUUGUAAGUCAGUGGUGAAAUCUCUCGGCUUAACCGAGAAAUUGCCAUUGAUACUGCAGGGCUUGAGUACAGUUGCCGUUGGCGGAAUAUGACAUGUAGCGGUGAAAUGCUUAGAGAUGACAUAGAACACCUAUUGCGAAGGCAGCUAACUACGCGAAUAUUGACGCUGAGGCACGAAAGCGUGGGGAUCAAACAGG
RNAcentral lists this ribosomal RNA (253 nucleotides) under uncultured bacterium. Its description in RNAcentral is "partial 16S ribosomal RNA". It matches the Rfam family "Bacterial small subunit ribosomal RNA", at positions 524 to 776 of the family's 1533-position model. The record is from RNAcentral.